Molecule: ribosomal RNA, 207 nt
Filed under: uncultured Eubacteriales bacterium
Lineage: Bacteria; Bacillati; Bacillota; Clostridia; Eubacteriales
Description: uncultured Clostridiales bacterium partial 16S ribosomal RNA
Rfam family: Bacterial small subunit ribosomal RNA
Source: RNAcentral
CGUGUAGGCGGAGAUGCAAGUCAGAUGUGAAAUUUCGGGGCUCAACCCCGAACCUGCAUUUGAAACUGUAUCCCUUGAGUGUCGGAGAGGCAAGCGGAAUUCCUAGUGUAGCGGUGAAAUGCGUAGAUAUUAGGAGGAACACCAGUGGCGAAGGCGGCUUGCUGGACGAUAACUGACGCUGAGGCGCGAAAGCGUGGGGAGCAAACA